RNAcentral lists this ribosomal RNA (770 nucleotides) under uncultured bacterium. RNAcentral's name for it is "bacterial SSU rRNA". It matches the Rfam family "Bacterial small subunit ribosomal RNA", at positions 8 to 796 of the family's 1533-position model. The record is from RNAcentral.
AGAGUUUGAUCCUGGCUCAGAACGAACGCUGGCGGCGUGCUUAACACAUGCAAGUCGAACGUGAAAGUGGCUUCGGCCAUGAGUAAAGUGGCAGACGGGUGAGUAACACGUGGGUAACCUAUCCCUUGGCGGGGAAUAACCACUCGAAAGGGUGGCUAAUACCGCAUAAGACCACGUCCCUGAUGGGAUGAGGUAAAAGAUUUAUCACCAGGGGAGGGGCCCGCGGCAGAUUAGCUAGUUGGUGAGGUAACGGCUCACCAAGGCGACGAUCAGUAACCGACCUGAGAGGGCGGACGGUCACACUGGAACUGAGACACGGUCCAGACUCCUACGGGAGGCAGCAGUGGGGAAUAUUGCACAAUGGGCGCAAGCCUGAUGCAGCAACGCCGCGUGAGUGAAGAAGGCCUUCGGGUCGUAAAGUUCUGUCCUGUGGGACGAAACAAAUGACGGUACCACAGGAGGAAGCCCCGGCUAACUACGUGCCAGCAGCCGCGGUAAUACGUAGGGGGCAAGCGUUAUCCGGAAUCACUGGGCGUAAAGGGUGCGUAGGUGGCCUAUCAAGUCAGAAGUGAAAGGCAGUGGCUUAACCACUGUAAGCUUUUGAAACUGAUGGGCUUGAGUGCAGGAGAGGUAAGUGGAAUUCCUAGUGUAGCGGUGAAAUGCGUAGAUAUUAGGAGGAACACCAGUGGCGAAGGCGACUUACUGGACUGUUACUGACACUGAGGCACGAAAGCGUGGGGAGCAAACAGGAUUAGAUACCCUGGUAGUCC